RNAcentral lists this microRNA (21 nucleotides) under Vitis vinifera (wine grape). Its description in RNAcentral is "vvi-miR3626-5p". Lineage: Eukaryota; Viridiplantae; Streptophyta; Magnoliopsida; Vitales; Vitaceae. The record is from miRBase by way of RNAcentral.
GGUAGUCGCUGUGAAAUUGAA